RNAcentral lists this ribosomal RNA (623 nucleotides) under uncultured bacterium. RNAcentral's name for it is "bacterial SSU rRNA". It matches the Rfam family "Bacterial small subunit ribosomal RNA", at positions 338 to 954 of the family's 1533-position model. The record is from RNAcentral.
CCUACGGGAGGCAGCAGUGGGGAAUUUUGGACAAUGGGCGCAAGCCUGAUCCAGCAAUGCCGCGUGAGUGAAGAAGGCCUUCGGGUUGUAAAGCUCUUUUGUCAGGGAAGAAACGGCUCCAGCUAAUAUCUGGGGCUAAUGACGGUACCUGAAGAAUAAGCACCGGCUAACUACGUGCCAGCAGCCGCGGUAAUACGUAGGGUGCAAGCGUUAAUCGGAAUUACUGGGCGUAAAGCGUGCGCAGGCGGUUUUGUAAGUCUGUCGUGAAAGCCCCGGGCUCAACCUGGGAAUUGCGAUGGAGACUGCAAGGCUUGAAUCUGGCAGAGGGGGGUAGAAUUCCACGUGUAGCAGUGAAAUGCGUAGAGAUGUGGAGGAACACCGAUGGCGAAGGCAGCCCCCUGGGUCAAGAUUGACGCUCAUGCACGAAAGCGUGGGGAGCAAACAGGAUUAGAUACCCUGGUAGUCCACGCCCUAAACGAUGUCUACUAGUUGUCGGGUUUUAAUAACUUGGUAACGCAGCUAACGCGUGAAGUAGACCGCCUGGGGAUACGGUCGCAAGNUUAAAACCGUNAAAUGAAGUUCGACGGCUGAGAGUAGACGACGGACGACGACGAGGGAGGAGG